UGGGGAAUUUUGGACAAUGGGCGAAAGCCUGAUCCAGCAAUGCCGCGUGUGUGAAGAAGGCCUUCGGGUUGUAAAGCACUUUUGUCCGGAAAGAAAUCCUCUGGGUUAAUACCUCGGGGGGAUGACGGUACCGGAAGAAUAAGCACCGGCUAACUACGUGCCAGCAGCCGCGGUAAUACGUAGGGUGCAAGCGUUAAUCGGAAUUACUGGGCGUAAAGCGUGCGCAGGCGGUUUUGUAAGACGGAUGUGAAAUCCCCGGGCUUAACCUGGGAACUGCAUUCGUGACUGCAAGGCUAGAGUAUGGCAGAGGGGGGUAGAAUUCCACGUGUAGCAGUGAAAUGCGUAGAGAUGUGGAGGAAUACCGAUGGCGAAGGCAGCCCCCUGGGCCAAUACUGACGCUCAUGCACGAAAGCGUGGGGAGCAAACAGGAUUAGAUACCCUGGUAGUCCACGCCCUAAACGAUGUCAACUAGUUGCUGGGGAUUCAUUUCCUUAGUAACGUAGCUAACGCGUGAAGUUGACCGCCUGGGGGAGUACGGUCGCAAGAUUAAAACUCAAAGGAAUUGAC
This 567-nucleotide ribosomal RNA is filed under the name uncultured bacterium. RNAcentral's name for it is "partial 16S ribosomal RNA". It matches the Rfam family "Bacterial small subunit ribosomal RNA", at positions 355 to 914 of the family's 1533-position model. The record is from RNAcentral.